AGCAGCCGCCGCGGUAAUACGAAGGGGGCUAGCGUUGUUCGGAAUUACUGGGCGUAAAGCGCACGUAGGCGGAUAUUUAAGUCAGGGGUGAAAUCCCAGAGCUCAACUCUGGAACUGCCUUUGAUACUGGGUAUCUUGAGUAUGGAAGAGGUGAGUGGAAUUCCGAGUGUAGAGGUGAAAUUCGUAGAUAUUCGGAGGAACACCAGUGGCGAAGGCGGCUCACUGGUCCAUUACUGACGCUGAGGUGCGAAAGCAUGGGGAGCAAACAGGAUUAGAUACCCGUGUAGUCCCUGUCUCUUAUAC
This 303-nucleotide ribosomal RNA is filed under the name uncultured bacterium. Its description in RNAcentral is "partial 16S ribosomal RNA". It matches the Rfam family "Bacterial small subunit ribosomal RNA", at positions 507 to 807 of the family's 1533-position model. The record is from RNAcentral.